Molecule: long non-coding RNA, 3902 nt
Filed under: Olea europaea subsp. europaea
Lineage: Eukaryota; Viridiplantae; Streptophyta; Magnoliopsida; Lamiales; Oleaceae
Source: RNAcentral
CUCGUCCAAAACUGUGGAAGUAAAGGACAAACUGGAAGCAUGGAUGUCAUUUUAGAGAAAAAUUAUGGCGCCAUCAACAUAAAUAUUAGUAUUGAAAAACAAGCAUAUACACAGGGGCGGACGCAGACAUUUCGAACCAGGGGGUCACAAUCAAACUUUCCAAAAAAGUGACGAAAAAUUUAAAGUACGAGAUAUCUUCUUACAAUUGUUGUCAACAUGUUCUCAUACUUUGAUAACAGUCUACAAUUACAUCAUUUUCAAUCUUAUAAAAAAUAUCUUGCUCAAUAUAAGCAAUCAAACUAUCAUUUAACCAUUGAUCUCCGAUUCGAUUGUGUAGACGAUUUUUGACAUAAGGCAUCGCAGAAAAUGCUCUCUCAACUGUAGCAGUAGCCACGGUAAGAACUAAAGCUAAUGUCACAAGCUUGUAGACUAAUGGAUACACCUUAUGUUUAUUGUUCGCAACCAACUUCUAUGUAAGAUCACUAAUACCUUGUAAUCCUUCAAAAUCUUCGAAAGUGCGCAUAUGAAGAAUAUAUGUAUCUAAUUGAUCAUCAAGUUCGAAGAUAUCUACUGCAUCAAAAUCUAUUGGAUAAUACUGACAUAGUCGCAACACUUUUGUCUUGUCAAAAGCAGUAAAUGUUAUUUGGAGACAAACACGCAACAUAAAAGAGCAAGCCAAUGUUCACCUCAGAAAAAUGAUCAUUAAACUCUUGAAAUUGCAUAUCAAUGAUGGCAUAAAACAUUUCUACCCGAAAAUGAUGCAAAUUUGUCACUGUCUCACGCUGUGAACGACCUAGAUUUAUGAACAUAUAAUCCAUAUUGGGAACAUUGAUAUUAUGAGUUUCACAGAACGAACAACCCAGUCCAAAAAAAGAAUCUCAUCCAUCAUCCCUUAUGGUUUGGAGCUGAGCUUUACAUAUUUACACAAAUCUCAUACUAUUGACAAUAUCCCAAUCUUUUCUUUGUAAAGCUUUAGACAAUUCAUUUGAAAUCUCUAAAAUCAUUUUUAUGAGAUGUAGAUUAAAUGCAAAUUCAAAUCUUAACAUCAUCUCCAAUGAAAUACAUGCAUCACAUCUUGUUCCAGUACUUGUAGUGUCAGAAGCUAUCCUCUCAAUAACGUCGACUAUGGUUGGAAACAUGACAAUUAAGUUAAUCAAACAACUAUAGUGAGAGUUCUAACGUGUAUCACAGGACGCUGAAGUGUAAUUUCUUAAUUGAGACCCCGUUCGCUUGAUAUUUCACCAACACUGAGUGAUUCAAAAAUUUUCAAUCUUUCGUUCUCUCGAAUAAGAUUACUCUAUUUAGCUGAUCCCCUAACAUUAUUCACUAAUUUGUGUAUUGUAGUGAAUAACAUUUCAAUCUUUGGAUGUUUCUGGGCCACAGCUACAAGUGCUAGUUGAAGUUGAUGAGCAAAACAAUGAAUGUAGUAAGCACUUGAGUUUUCUUUCAAAAUAGUGCUUUGAGGCCAUUAUACUCACCUUGCAUGUUACUAGCUCUAUCAUAUCUCUGACCUCUCAAAUUAGAUAUGCUUAAGCUAUGUGUUGAAAAUAAUUGAUCAAUUGCAGCUUUAAGUGAGGAGCUAUGGUACUUGAAACAUGAAUGACACCAAUAAAAUGUUUCAAUACACACCCAUUCUUCACAUAACGAAUGACAACUGACAUUUGCUCCUUCACUAAAACGUCUCAAGAUUCAUCAACUAAAAUUGAGAAGAAACUAUCACGAACAUCUUUGAUAAUCACACGUGGACAUUCAUAAGCAAUAGCACUUACAAUAUCUUUUUGCACUCUCAGUGAUGUUAAUUUGCAAUUCUCGGGUUCAUUUGUCAAAGCAACGACCUUAAUCUUAGCAUUUAUGAUUGCACAACCAAUGCAAUAGUUCAAGAAAGUUUCCUUGAUUGUUUGAAUAUUCAGAUUCAUCAUGUCCACGAAAUCCCAGCCUUUGUCGUACAAGAAAUCUAACACAAUCAAUUGACGCAUUCAAUCGAAUUCGAUAAUCUGUUCGAGCUUGAAGCAAUUGCUUAAUGAGAUAGGUUCAAAUACUUUGUUUUUUAUUCUUGAACAAUUUAUAUUUAACCCGAACUUGAUUGUGUGCACUACAUGAAGCCCCAACAUGUUUUCUAAUAUAUUCUUUCUUUUUCCAAUUUGAAAAUUCUUCUUUAACAAAUGAACCACCACUCAAACUGAAAAGAUAGCAGUAAAAGCAAAAAACUGCAUCUUUUGCUAUACUAUAUUCCAACUAAGUAGGAUACUCAUUAUACCACGAAAUACAAAAUCACUUGUCUUUGUUACCCAUUCUUGUGGGUAGAAACGCAUGAUUGCGAGACUGACAAAGACCCCUUUGCACAUAUGCUCUUUGAAUCACGUCUCGAACGUUAAUAUCAUAAUUCUGUAUUGAAACUCUUAAUCCAGGAUCUGAGGGAAGCUGUGCAACAUCAACAUCCCCAAUAUCUCCAAUACCACCAACGUUCCCAACAUCCCCAACAUCUCCAAUACCCCCAACAUCUCCAACAUCAACAUCCCCAACAUCAACAUCAACAUCAACAUUAACAUUAACAUUAUUUUGAUCCCUUUUCUCUCGAUCGUUCCUUUCACUGACAUUUUGCUCAUCACAGGAAGACAUAGAUUUACGUUUAAAGUAUUUCUCCAUGACUGAUACAAACAAAAAAUCGACAACAUUAGAAAUCCCUAAAUCAGUUUCUUCUUCUAAGAAUCUAAAUCAUACCUAUCAAAAUUCAAACAAAGUUUCACUCUUCCUAAAUCAAUUCACAUAUAAAUAAGAAAGCCCUAAAUCGAAAAAUCCCUAAAUUCCUAAAUCAAAAAAAAUCCCUAAAUCAGUUUCUUCUUCUAAGAAUCUCAAUCAUACUUAACAAAAUUCAAACAAAGUUUCACUCUUCCUAAGUCAAUUCACAAAUAAAUAAGAAAGCCCUAAAUCAAAAAUCCCUAAAUUCCUAAAUCAAAAAAUCCCUAAAUCGAAAACACAGUUACAACUUACAUGGAAACUAAAUCAAAAAUUAGAAAAAACAAUUAAUAACAAAUCACUAACUCAGCCAAUCACAAUCUCAAUCAGGAAUGCAAAUAGAAUGGACACACCUUCAACUUCAAGAUUCAAGAAGAUGGCAGACGGCGAAAGCUAUUAUUUAUUUUUCCCUUGUGGCUUGUGCAGUCGUGUAAUCAAACAAAACAAAGUAUUAAAUUUAUUGAGCCGGCGGAAGCUAUUAUUCAUUUCAGAAAAAUUAUUAUCGAAUAGGUAGGGAAGUUACUCCAAAGGCUAAAGCAGUGGCCAAUGGAGUGGCAGAUAGUCGACACUCGACAAGCUUGCAACAGGGGUCUUAGGUCUGGAAGUCCGAAGUCUGGAACAAGAGAGAGACAGAGUUGGAAUCUGCUGGCCGAGUGCGGGACUGUGCAUCUGUAAUAGUAGUGCUGCUCAUGUUGUACUCUAAACUAAUUUUCGUCGUAAACACAGAGAAUCAAUCGCUCUACUCGAAUGCGCAAAUUAUAAAGACAUCUUUAAAAUUUUAUAAAAGUAUUAAUAAAUAGGUAAAAAGAAGAUGAAAUCAGGGUUUAAUUUGACAAGGAUCCCAACAUAAACGUCGAUGCAAAUAUAUAAUUAAAGAUGGAAAUUGAUUUUAACAUAACAAAGACUUACAAUUUGAAGAAAGUGGCAGAUGGUGGUCGAGCCAAGAGGUGAAGCUUCUCGCAGUGAGAGAUGAGCAGAAAUUUGGUGUUCACUACUGUCUGUGCUAAAGUGUGAGAGAGCAGACUACAGACGGACACGAACUCACAGUCACGGAGUGCAGUCGCUGCGUGCAGUCUCGCAAAAGCAAUGUUGGUGUGCUGCUUGUGGUUGUGGCUGUGGGAGUGCCGGAGUGGGAGAGAGAGACGGAGUGUAGAGUUUACUUUUUG